AUCCGUGCUCCCGCCCUCCGGGUCCGCGUCUCCUGCAGCGGAGGCCCCCGUUCGCUGCCUGCCUCGGAGCAGGGGAACCAAACAGAGGUGUGAGCCCUGCUGGGCUCCGUGCCCUACCCCCCCGGUCCCCCUUUAAAAGCCACCGAGCCACACCUAAAACCCCAUCUGGACAUCUUCAUGGCGUGGGCACGCUGACCCCAGGCCCUCCUUUCUUUUUGUGCCCAGAGGCCUAAGGGAGAACCCAGGCCUCAGCCUGCCCGCCGCCUUCCUCCCCCCCCCGCCACCCCGCGUCCGACUUCCCUUCCUCGCUCCUCCAAACACAUCCUCGUCCCCCCCUCCACCCCCCCGGUCCCCGCCUUGAGGGGAUUCACAGUGUUGUCCCUGCGCUGGGCCCGGCCUUCCCGGCGCUUCCGUGCUGCAGCGGCUGCUGGGAAUAAUGGAGGUUGCUGUCUCUGUGUCUCCCUGCCUCACUGUUUACAAUAUGGCGACCUUCCUUUAAAUUAUAUUUUUAUUCUGAGCGCCAUUUUGGCUGCAUAUGUGACUUCCAAAGCCUUGCAGCGCUUCCUGAGUAUCUCAAUUGUGAAAAUACUUUCCCCGCAGAAAUCUGGGCCUCUGGACUUUUAAAAUUGGCUCGCCUUAUUUCUUUCCCUCCUUUUUCCUUCAUCCUGACUCCGGAGACGUGCUUGUCUCAUCCUUGGGGAACGACUGCCGUGAAUUUCGGGGUAGCCAGGCCCUCUUGCUGGGAGUUGUGCAGCUUUGUUGAUAAAAGCAGAUCUUUUUGCAUGCAAAUCUGGAGCUGGAGGUGCGCGCGGAGGCGGUUGCGACGCUGUUCGGUGGAGGCUGAAGCAGGGAGGGCUCCGGGGCCUCACCUCGAGCGCUUCCCAAGCGCACGGCACAAAGCCAGCCCUCAACUUUCCGCAGCGGAGUUUUCCUCCGUUGUGCACCGGGAAAUGCACCGGGGGCUGCGGUGCCCGUUCCGCUCGCUCAACAGUUGACACAGGCGGAGGGUUUGUGUUAAAUUAGCGCAGCCGGAGUGGAUAAUGGAGUGGAGGAGGGAGCGGGGCGAGUCAAACAGCUGGAGCUCAGGCGUACCGAGUAUUCUUCCUUAGGGGAGAUUUUUUAACCGCAUUCCUUUCUCUCUUUCAUGCUUUGGAGCUUUUUGUUUGCCACCCCGUUACAGCUGUCUCCUCUCUUUACUUAUUUUUUACCUAUUCCUUUCUCUUUGCUCGGUGGUUAUGCCGCGUUUGUAUGCUAAUUGCAGGUCUCUGAACACUUAUUAAACUGAUUGCUGAUACCGGGAAAACUGAAUGUGUGGUCGCAGUUGUGCAGGGAGUGUCCCGUUAGCAGCACGCAGCCAGACCAGCCCAACAAUGCUGUAGCAAGCAGCCAUGACAUCAUCCCUCCUGCCCCGAGGAAGUGCUGCUGGUGGUUGGGCACAUCCUCUGCAUUUACUAGAAUGACACCGACGUUUUCUUCCUCCGACCUUCUCUGUGGGCUUUAAUUUAAGGGCUUUUUUCUUACACUGGUUGGAGUCGCUUAAAACUCGGUGUUUGCUUGCAGAUGCUGUUGAGUGCAUCCUGAGCCUUCUCUCGCAGAGGCUUCACGCUUGUGUUUUCAGAUGGAAGGGCCGUGACUAAUGCUGCAAAGUUUCUUAAUUGACUCCGAAUCCUGGCUCAUCCUAACUGUAAAUGAGUCCACUCUGCGCAAGGCGAAAUCUGGCUACAGUUCAUGACUUAAUUUGGCAAGAUUCUUGUAGCCAGUGGGAAAUGGUCAUGUAAAUCAGACAUCUAGAGAGGUUUGGCUGUGCUCAAGUUGGUUACAGGAUAAUUACAAAAAUUCUUUGGCUAACUAGUCACCCUUCAGGACAAAAGCAGAAGGUGCAGCUCUGGUUAUUCCUUCUCGCUUUUGUUGUUCCCUUCCUUGGGCUAUCUCUGGGCGAGCACUCAGGAACAGCAGAAGCCCCGGCCUUGCCGAGGCCUUGGAGCAAACCAGGUAGUCUCAAAGCAAUGCUUGGCUUUUAUAUCCAUGUUUUCUUCCCUUCACCUUCUACAUCUUGCUUAAAGUAAACUUCCGUUCAGGAUAUAAACUCAGGCAUAAAGGCAGCACUUGAAACUUCCUUUCUGCCUUUUUUAAUUAUUGUUUUUAUUUAAAGAAUAACAGCUGUAAUGCAAUGCUUGCUUAAGUGAUUUUGAAUAGCAGUUUAGCUAUACUGGCUGAAUUGUGUUGGCAGCUUAACUGUUCUUUUAAUAUUUAUUGUAAGCUUUAGUGCUAGGUUGCAUUUAUUAUCCGUAUAGCAAAAAAAAAGAAAAAAAAAAAAGAGCAUUUAAUUGGCCAAGGAAUUGUAAUCAGUCCAUAAAAGGAGAGAUCAAGGUGUGGUCAGCUCAGAGACGACCCCAGCUCCGUGGCCACAGACCAGUUUCGUUUCUGCCUACAUAGAAACGAUGCUCCACGGCGCCGUGCUGUGUGAACAUGCUUGCUCAAAAUCCCCCAAACUUCCCAAGUGUGAUAGCACCACGCCCCUCUGAUGGGAAAUUACAAGUUAUGUCGAUGCACAGUGGGAAUGGCUGCUCUCCUUGGGGGUGGAAGGGCCAUCCUGGUUCAGCUGUUGGGGUUUCAGCUCUUCUCACAACGCGAAGUCGCUGCUUUGAUGUAGAACUCCUCCAGGUACUGGUGAGAGAGGAUGGAGGAUGCUGCUGGGGCUGUGGGCUGGCUGCAGAUAAAGGGCCUGGUGGGAGAGAAUGGGAAAGUGCAAAACUCCUUCAGGUUCAACACCUUUGGGUUAUUGUCUUCAGGUUUGAAUUUCCAGAGUGUUUUUUCCUCUCCUUGGAAACAGUAUGUGAUUUUUUUUUUUUUUAGCUCCCAAGUCUGACUUUGGUUGUGCUGUUCAGCUGGAACCUGCUGCUUGGGUGAUGGGGCAGUGCACGUUUUCAUUCUGAUGUUGUGUCUUAACUCAGGCCCCUGCCUUCCAUCUUCACACAUUUGAGAAAAAAAAAAAAAAAAGUUUUAUUUUCCAGUACUUCUGCUAUUCAUCCCCAUCUACAUCCUCCUCCUGGAUGUGUGAUUGUUAAAGUUCCCUUUAUUUUCUUACGCCUGUUUGCAAAGCGAGCGAUGUUGCAAAUUCAUUCCAGCCUCAGUGGAGGAUUAGAAAGGUCCCUGGGAGAGGAAAAGUUUAGUUAGCAAGCAGGGGGAGGGGAGGGGAAUAACACAGCCCAGUGUUGUGCUUCUUUUCAAGUCUCGCUGCCUGAGCUGCUGCGUGGAGGAGCCCGCUCAGAGCCGCUCACCCAGUGAACGCCGCUGUUGCUGUCCCUCUUGUGAUUGUGUGCUGCUGAGGAAGCACUGCUAAUGGGGCAGAGUGACCUGAGCUGCCCUAAACCCACCAGCUGCCCGUCGCAGUGAGCAGGCAGUGCCAUGCAGUGAUGCUGCCCGGCGGUGGGCUUCCCUUUGCUGCAUCUGUGGCUCUUCUGGGAGAAAUACACCGCGUCCCUCCUGGGCCCUGCGAGCUCCAUCAGCCUUCCUGCAGCACUUGCCUCUUUGUGUUUAUAUUUGGAGCGUUUGGCUCCGUUUCCUCUCCGCUUUGGCAGUCUUCUCCCGAGAGCUGUUGUCGAAGAACUGGAGUAACAGAGCUGCAAAGAGAAGUAGACGAGGCUAAGCUAGCCUGAGUUUUGCAUAUUUUCUGUGAGUCACAUCAGUUAAACUCUUUGCACGUAGAAUGGAAAAACGUUGUGUUUAACUGUGGGACAUUAGUAACUCUUUCCCUACCUUAUUCAGGUCUAAAAUGUCCUGCCUUAUCUCGGCAUUUGGUCUAGCUGUGAUUUUUGCAUAAAUAUCCAUUCUGUGUGGGGGGCGAGGAGGAAAGCAUUAGCCUGGCUAUUGUCUUUGCUAUUCAUGCCCCUCAGGUGGUGCUUUGGCCGCCUCAGGCUUUCAGGUGAAGCUUUGAAAGGCCCAAAGCAUCUACAGGGAGCAGCAGGGCGGCCAGAAAACUGCCCUGGAGGCUGACUUAGCCCUAGGAGAAGUGAGGAGUGGGCAAGGCAACAGCUUUUUGUGCAUCUCUGGUUCUGGCAUUUCAGAACUGUUGGGGCCACUGUAGUCUAGAUCCCAAAGCAGAAGGAAGCGGUUGCUCUGGCCUGGUUUCUCGGUGCAGAGGGUCACUGCGCAUGUGCCUGCAGAUGUGGUAACAUGAUCGGUCUUGGCAGUUCUCUGAAGCAGAGUUGUACCAAUGUAAUCUUUCGCUCUCCUUAUUUUCGUCCCUAAAUCUCUCGCUGCAAAACCAGAUAAGGUCAACUUAAACGUGCGACCUUAAGCUGAGGGCACCGGGAAACCACUGAUAAUAAGGACUUCAUGAACUAAUCUCAUUCUUUUUUUUUUUUUGUUUUGUUUUGCAACCAGCAAAUCACAAUUCUCACCCGCGUGCGCUCGUGUUAAACCGAGCGUGAGCGCAUUCAGCAGCGUGGGCAGGAGCGUGGCACUCGUGUGGCACCGUGGGUCACUGCUGCUCCCGGCGUCACAGCAAAGCAGGGAGCUCGCAAGGCAGUGGGAUUCUCUCCGUAUCAACAAGGGGGAUGUUGUAGCUGCUUCACUUACGCUUUGUCUUCAGGCGCAGCCCGGCGUUAUGUCAGACAUCCGUAAUCUGAAGGGCGCGGUGCGAGGCCGUUAAUAAGGAAAGUUCUCCGCCGUGUUGUCCCUUGGCUUGGGAAGGUGCCGGUUUUAUGCUGACCGGGAUACAUGGGGCUGAGAAGUCUUUUAUUUUUUUCCUGCUGUUCUGGAGUCGGUGUUUGAGUUGCCCCGAACAAGCUGCGUUGGUGGCAGCGGCUCAUUGGGAAGCAGCGCGCGUGGCCUCGUUAGCUGCUCCUCCUGCUCUGUCAGACCUGCAGGCAUGACUCACGGGAGCGUUUGAAAACGUGGAAAGGUCUUCCCAGAGGAAUUCCAGCUCCUCUAGGCAUUUGCAAAGGAAAUUCUUAAUUGGAUUAGGUUCAUAAUGCUAAUCUGCUAAUGACUGUUUGUUAUGGAGAUCCUAGCGCUAUCCUGUAAAUAUAUUCACCUUAAUUUAGCUCGCCUUGUGCCUUUUUAUCGCGCACAAGCUCAGUGCUGUUGAGAUUAUACAGCUGCCUGUGGAUCUUACAGCUGGGAAUGGGAGAAGGACCACUGUGCGUGGUACACAACGUGGUGUGAUGCUCUCCUAAUUCUCACUGCUCUCUGUUUCCCAGAGCUGCUUGAGGUGGGAUAGGAAAUGGGCAGCAGCAGGGGUGGAUGUUAAACUGUGUCGAUCCUACAGUGAGUCAGUGGUAGGUGGCAGUUCUUGAGCCUCCCCUGUGCUCUGGAGCCCUGUUGCUCCUCAGGUGGGUAGCAAGGAGCAGGAAUCCACUGGGAAGCAAGCAGCAGUUACUUACAGGAAAGAGAUGUAUCUUCCUGAAGGCAAGUGUUGCAAAGUCUGAGCCUUCAGGGAGCCCUGCCUGUUGGAAUAUAAAUCACAUGUGAGAAUGACUACCUGUUUUUUUUUGCUUUUUUUUUUUUUUUAACCACUCCGGAAGUAAGCUUGGACUUCUGAAAACGCUAAUGUAUCUCAGAAUAUAAUACAGCUUUGUUCUAGGGAUAUGGAGUGCUGGAUUCAAAAGUAUCUUGCCACGUCAAGUUACUGGCGGACGCUGCGAUUUUACGAUGCGGUCAGAUUGUCAGAGGCAGCUUUUCCUUAGAGCAGCCCGUGCACGGUGCCUGCAGCCCCGCAGCAGCUAGAUGCCUGCCCAGCUUUUGGAAGGAAGGCUCCAGUGUCUCUGUCAGCUGAGUAAAACUGUCGGUGUGUCAGAUCUCCAGCACAAAAAGCAUCUCGGGCAGCUGGGGGAACCGCAGCGCCGAGCCCAGCUCUAACCUAUUUCUGCUGACGUCUGCUCUGCACGAGUCACUUGAAGUAAACGAGAUGGAGCUGGAGAUUACCGACUUUGAACCCCGCAGAAAGCAGUGGCCUGAGGAUGCAAUUUGGCAGGCUGAAAACCCCAUGCUGAAUUCCUGGCAAGCGGGAGUGAUUGGUGUGAAACACCUGCCUCCAGCCUCUGACUUGGGGCAGGCGUCACGUGAGCUUCCCGGAGAUCUCGGGCUAGAAUAGCAACAGGAGCAGGAUGUGAAGGUGAUCGGGAAAGGCAGAAGGGAUUUAUACCCUCUCUUAGGGUUUUGCUGGGGUGGGAGUGGAGGGAUAUUUUUAUUGCUCUUCAUUUCCCUUUCCUCCCCGGUGUUCUCGGGAAAGCCUAGCCCACACGUAGGUGUCGGAAUUAUACCUCGCUUGUGUCUGUGUGAAACUGAAUUCAUAUUUUUGCUUUUAUGGUCUGUGUGUCAGCUUCCUCUGAUGUGCUGCUUUCUCUGCUUUUGGUCUCUCUUUGCCACCUUAUUGCUUCCGUCCUUUCAGCCCCUCUCCUUUGAACACGCUCGGUAUCGCUGGGGCUGAAUGCGUUCACCUUUCAGAAACCUCUCAAACCCGUGUUUUCAUUUUUUUUUUUUUUUUUCAGUAGAGCUGUCUCUUCAUUUAUUGUUCUUCCGAGACAAAAUUGGGUGAACUGGCUCUCACUAGAGCUCUGUUGUUCCUCAGCCCCGUUUCUUUUCCCUGUUGCUUCCCUAUGUGUCAUCCUGCUUUGAGAAGAUGACUUCUAAUCUGUUAAGAAGAUGGUGCUAUAGAGAUCUGAACACUUGAUGAAUGUGGCCAUUGAAUUCAGGCUAUUGUUACCAUUGUCUGCGGCACAGGCACAAGGAGUGGUGCAUGGGAUAGAAAUAGGUUGUGCAAAAUGUCUGAAUUUCAGAGUGUGAACCAAAUUUUCCAAAGUCAACAAGUCUUAUUGACUUCUGAAUAGCGAUACAGAGCCAGACAGUUCACGUGCAGGUAUGUCCCUAAUCACAGAAUUCAAAAGCAGCCAAGCCAAUUGAGAAACAGAACAACACCAAACAAAAGAAGGCGACUGGAGGGCGCGUGUUUCUUUCAAUCACAUUUAUUUAUAUAGAUACAUACUUACUUUUGUAUAUGGAAAUCCAAUAUCUUAAAAAACCACUUUUUUCUUUAUUUUUUUUCUACUGUUAAUGAGAGUAAUAGCUAAUGGCUUGCCUGGGGACCGGUCUCUGUAGGCCAGGUCCUUCCUAUGAAUAGAAGCAAGCAAUUACAUCAGGGGAUCACGUGUUUACCUGCGGCUUAACCGCUUUAUUGGACACUCCUGAUUGUCAGGUCCGAGACAAAAAGCUGCACUUUACCAUAUGCAGGAAGAAGAAAGAAGCAUGCAAUGAAUGACGCUUUGGGAUGCAGCGUACCUGGCGACAUAGAGAUGUUAGCAUGCCUUAAUCUUUCUGUGCUUGCCUCUUGCUGUCUGGCUGUAUCACGGCGUUUUAAUCCCGCGUCUGUUCUCUGUCUGUUGCUCAGCCCUCAUUUCUAACUCUGUUUGAAAGAUGCGUGCUGAGCAGAGGCACUGUUGCAGAUGAUGGGAUGAUUGGUGUCGUGUGAAACGGCCAUUUCUGUUCUCCUCCUUACCGAGUGGCAGCCAAAGUAAUCACAUGCUGACCUGUCUGGGGUGUCCAUCUUUCCCUGCUAGAUGUACCAACAUCUCCCUGCCUCUAUGGACACGUUCAAGGCUUUGACUUCAGAGCAAACAAACUGAGCUGACUGCUGUUAAGCUUUUUUCCACUCGUUUCCUCUGGGGAGGGGAAUCUGUACUACAGAUAAAAGUACAGCAGCUGAUGCUUGGCCGUUAACAUGAACUGCACUGCUGGCUGUAAGUAGGUAUAACAUAUGCAAUAUGUGAGCCUACUGGAGUCCAGAAAACUCUGGACUCUUAGUUUGGAUGUGAUCAGGUCAUGCUUAGAGGUUGCUGAAGAACUGUGCUGAGCUUGUCUGAAGUUUGGUGAUCCCUGCUGUGGUGCUUGUGUUCAGCAGCAGCAUUGCUGCUUGCACUCCUGAGCAUCAGAACUGUCCAUUUGAAUGAGUUUGAAGAACUUGCUGUAGAACUUCACCGGUCCAUCUGUGUCGAGGAGCCAUCUGGAUGCUACCGGAACAAAGGAGAGCGCUGUCACCGUUCCUAAUAAUUACCUUUAGGGUAAUGAAGUCUUGCUUCCAUCUCCGCAGAGAAUAGUAAGCUCUUUGACCCAAGACUUGCAGCAGGAAGUUGCAGCAAGGAAGAACCUGCCCCAGGCUGCAGCUGCUGCCUGUGCUGUGGGGUUUCAGUCUGCGGCAGAGGCUGCAGGCGCCGUGUUCCAGGUGUCCUUCUGCAGGGGUUUGGAGCAGCUGUGUGCAGAAGCGUGUAACUUGGGCUCGGUAACGCUGUUUCAAAGAGCUGGAUGCGUAAAUGAUGCAACCUCCUCUGUUUCUCAAUGGGCGCUUGUAACGCGCGGACAGUGCGGUUGGUUUCCUGGUUUGUUUUCGUUACGGCUGCCAUUGAGGCCCUGCUGUAGGAAGCCAAGGAGCCUUGUUCUUUAUGAAGCCGGUGGAACAGCUGGACCUCUAUCCAUCACUGGGAUAAAUAGGAUCCAACAGCAGAGCCGGAUGUUUCUUCCUCUUGUCUUACUGGCAAACGUAACCAGCAUCCUUCCUUGUAAGCCUGUCAUUGAGGCCUGGUGAGGUAAUUAGAAGAUUUUUGCUCAAAACAACUGAAAUCGAAGAGAAGUUGCUGAAGAAAUCUCUGCCAGGCACCAGGCCGUCUUCCUGCUGCCAUUACCCUGCGAGCUGCCUGUCCCCAGAGCUGUCAGCCUGCCCGCAGGCGAGAUGGCCACCGGGAGUGCCACGUGGAAAUAGCUCCCAGUUUGCUGCUCGCUGCUUCCUUUGAGAGCUGAGCCUGGUUUGUGCUGAAGAAGGUGCCGUCCUUCGAGCAUUUGUUUACUUAUUUAUCGAGGUCAGCAAAGUAAGGAGUAAUGAUGGGGGUGAGACGAACAGCGGGCAUCUGAUCUGUGAGAGCUGCAGAGUGUGAAAUUAAAAAGCAGAGUGGCUUCGUGCUAUUGUUUGCUGGAGAAAAAGCUCCCAGCUCGCAGAUGGCUCCCGAAGAUUUUUGAUUUCAUCGCGGCCAUUUAAAUGUUGUUUGUGAAGCACUGCGUGAUAGUGAGACUAUGUGAGAUAGCCGAAAGGUUUACAAGAGCCAACCUUGGCAACAUAAAUCUGAUCUGAAUUUCAAGAGAUGCCACUUAGCUUUUCCCAAAGAGCCGUGAGGCUGGUAUUAGGCAGUUGGGUAUCGCUGUAGUGGCUUUGGAGUAUGCGACGAUCAACAUCUCCUUCAAUUUCCAGAGGCUUUGUAGGAGUUGUUCUUCCAGAUGUUUGUGUGGACGUUAACUUUGAAGGUCACUUGUUUUUUUGGUUGGUUUUUUUUUUUUGGAGCUGUCUUUGUCUUGAAUUCAGGAACGUGUUUGUCCUCUGGGCAGAUUUGAUUCAGGUCGUGCCGAACCCUGCAGGUAAAAGAGCAUUGGCCACCGUGACGACGAAACGGGAAGCUUUGCAAAAGGAAGGUUGGGCAGGAUUGUGCCGAGGAGCUGAGCGGAGCGAUGCGUGCUUCCAGGAGAUGUGCUGUACCCGGAGAUCACGUUGGUGCUGCACGGCUCGGGUCCUGCUGGCAGCAGGCUCCAGCGGCUGGAGGGCUGCAUGCUAAUGAACGCCUGAAGGAUGGGGGAAAGCGGCCGCGUGCUCCUGCCAAAGCGCUGCUCCUUACCUUGGUGGUGAAGACCAAAUGCCUGGCUCGGAUUUAAAAAUGAGUUCCUCUUAACGCUUACGGUAAAAGGUUGAGGAAUGUGGUCAUAACUAGUCAAUUAGAACGGCAUUCUUCAGCGCUUCCUUGGCUUGAUGUUAAGGCGCAGGAAAUGCUCUUUCCGUGCGGAGGGGCCGGCAGUCCGGGUGCAGCAUUCAUCAGUCUUUGUUAGUGCAGCGAGCUGCCUUGAUGAACAGUUCAUUAACCAGGAGAAGCAGAAUCGCUCUUUUAAUGCGCUGCUGUGGCGGGCAGGCCUUAACAGCGAGCACAAAAACUCGGGGGGUGAAGCUGGGAGCUCCAGCCUCGCCGCCGCACUGACGCUCAUCUUUCCCCCUCCUUUGGGAAGAAGCAUUCCCUUAAAUGCUGCUUUGUGAGAGCUUUAUUUAAGGUUACUGUAUACACAGGAUCGCAUAGUUGUUGAGAAGAUAGCUCAAAUAUUAAAAAAAAAAAAACAAAAACAUGCCAAUAGCAUGCACAUUUAGGAA
Molecule: long non-coding RNA, 10177 nt
Organism: Numida meleagris (helmeted guineafowl)
Lineage: Eukaryota; Metazoa; Chordata; Aves; Galliformes; Numididae
Exons: 2
Source: RefSeq, a predicted model, not a curated record